Long non-coding RNA from Cervus elaphus (red deer), 161 nucleotides. RefSeq lists it as uncharacterized. NCBI's taxonomy places the organism in Eukaryota, Metazoa, Chordata, Mammalia, Artiodactyla, Cervidae. The transcript is spliced from 3 exons. The record is from RefSeq and is a predicted model, not a curated record.
AACAAAGAAGUAUGCAGAAAACACCCUGGUUUCGUGAAGGACAAGCUGAUGUAAUGUUAAACUAUCUUCCCCUUAGAAAUGUACUAACUUAGGGUAUAAAAGCUAUGGUAAAAAAUAAAUCAUUGCCAGACUCUUCCAGACUCUGCCAGAUCCUGCAAAGA